CUACGGGUGGCUCCAGUGGGGAAUAUUGCACAAUGGACGAAAGUCUGAUGCAGCAACGCCGCGUGGAGGAUGACACAUUUCGGUGCGUAAACUCCUUUUAUAUAAGAAGAUAAUGACGGUAUUAUAUGAAUAAGCACCGGCUAACUCCGUGCCAGCAGCCGCGGUAAUACGGGGGGUGCAAGCGUUACUCGGAAUCACUGGGCGUAAAGCGCAUGUAGGCGGACUUGUAAGUUGGAAGUGAAAUCCUAUGGCUCAACCAUAGAACUGCUUCCAAAACUGCUUGUCUAGAAUAUGGGAGAGGUAGAUGGAAUUUCUGGUGUAGGGGUAAUAUCCGUAGAGAUCAGAAGGAAUACCGAUUGCGAAGGCGAUCUACUGGAACAUUAUUGACGCUCAGAUGCGAAAGCGUGGGGAGCAAACAGGAUUAGAUACCCCAGUAGUC
This 439-nucleotide ribosomal RNA is filed under the name uncultured bacterium. Its description in RNAcentral is "partial 16S ribosomal RNA". It matches the Rfam family "Bacterial small subunit ribosomal RNA", at positions 339 to 795 of the family's 1533-position model. The record is from RNAcentral.